This 479-nucleotide small RNA is filed under the name Tetranychus urticae (two-spotted spider mite). RNAcentral's name for it is "sRNA tetur03g03890". The record is from RNAcentral. Lineage: Eukaryota; Metazoa; Arthropoda; Arachnida; Trombidiformes; Tetranychidae.
UUGGUCUUUGGUAAAAACUGGUUAAUUAAAGGUUAAUACAACGGAAAUUUAAACGACUAGUUUGAGAGACUAUCAUUUUUACAUUUAUUUUAACGUUAAUUGUUAUUAUUUCUUGAAACAUUUUUGUGAUUAGGUUGCCAUUUUAACCGUUGGUUAAAUAUUAUGAUCCGAAUACGUUUGAAACGCUGUCGACAAUAAAAGGUUAACCAGGAAAAUCACCUUCGUAAGUAAAAUAUCAUUUUUCGUUCGUUUUUUUUCUGUACCUCUGAGUUUUGGUUGCAAAAUUUAUUUUUUUUGCCUUAAUUCAAUCUUUUACAGUAUGUUGCUCUUUCAUCUGCAUCUCAUCUUAAUCUAUUUUUUGGCUUAAUAGCUCAAUUUUUUUCAAAUUUUGAUACAAUAAGAAGCUCUUUACUUCCUGUGAAACAAUCUCUUUUAAACAGGUUACCAAAAUAUAAAUCAAUUUGAUUGGGUUCAAUAAA